GAUGAACGCUGGCGGCGUGCCUAAUACAUGCAAGUCGAGCGAACAGAUGAGGAGCUUGCUCCUCUGACGUUAGCGGCGGACGGGUGAGUAACACGUGGAUAACCUACCUAUAAGACUGGGAUAACUUCGGGAAACCGGAGCUAAUACCGGAUAAUAUAUUGAACCGCAUGGUUCAAUAGUGAAAGACGGUUUUGCUGUCACUUAUAGAUGGAUCCGCGCCGCAUUAGCUAGUUGGUAAGGUAAAGGCUUACCAAGGAAACGAUGCGUAGCCGACCUGAGAGGGUGAUCGGCCACACUGGAACUGAGACACGGUCCAGACUCCUACGCGAGGCAGCAGUAGGGAAUCUUCCGCAAUGGGCGAAAGCCUGACGGAGCAACGCCGCGUGAGUGAUGAAGGUCUUCGGAUCGUAAAACUCUGUUAUUAGGGAAGAACAAAUGUGUAAGUAACUAUGCACGUCUUGACGGUACCUAAUCAGAAAGCCACGGCUAACUACGUG
Molecule: ribosomal RNA, 497 nt
Filed under: uncultured bacterium
Lineage: Bacteria
Description: partial 16S ribosomal RNA
Rfam family: Bacterial small subunit ribosomal RNA
Source: RNAcentral